RNAcentral lists this transfer RNA (74 nucleotides) under Saprospiraceae bacterium. RNAcentral describes it as "tRNA-His". It matches the Rfam family "tRNA". From Rfam's summary of the family: Transfer RNA (tRNA) molecules are approximately 80 nucleotides in length. Their secondary structure includes four short double-helical elements and three loops (D, anti-codon, and T loops). RNAcentral also lists the same sequence under 1 other name. The record is from RNAcentral. Lineage: Bacteria; Pseudomonadati; Bacteroidota; Saprospiria; Saprospirales; Saprospiraceae.
GAGGGUAUAGCUCAGUAGGUUAGAGCAUCAGAUUGUGGUUCUGAGGGCCGUCGGUUCGAAUCCGAUUAUCCUCC